UUCCGGUUGAUCCUGCCGGACCUUACUGCUAUCGGGAUGGGACUAAGCCAUGCAAGUCGCUCAAGCUAUGUGAGGCGAACGGCUCCGUAACACGUAGUUAACCUACCCUCGGGACGGGGAUAACCCCGGGAAACUGGGAUUAAUACCUGCUAGAUGAUUCUGCCUGGAAUGGCUUAUCAUCGAAAAGGCUGGGCGCCCGAGGAUGGGACUGCGUCCGAUCAGGUUGUUGGCGGGGUAACGGCCCACCAAGCCUAUAACCGGUACGGGCCCUGAGAGGGGGAGCCCGGAGAUGGAAACUGAGACAAGGUUCCAGGCCCUACGGGGUGCAGCAGGCGCGAAAUCUCCACAAUGCGCGAAAGCGUGAUGGGGUUAUCCCGAGUGCCGUCCGCUGAGGAUGGCUUUUACCCAGUCUAGAACGCUGGAGGAAUAAGGCGAGGGCAAGUUCUGGUGUCAGCCGCCGCGGUAAUACCAGCUCGCCGAGUGGUAGGGAUGAUUAUUGGGCCUGAAGCGUCCGUAGCCGGCCUUUCAAGUCUUCUGUUAAAUCCAGCGACCUAAUCGUUGGGCUGCAGGAGAUACUGUUGGGCUAGGGGGCGGAAGAAGCCGACGGUACUCCCGGGGUAGGGGUGAAAUCCUAUAAUCCCAGGAGGACCACCAGUGGCGAAGGCGGUCGGCUAGAACGCGCUCGACGGUGAGGGACGAAAGCUGGGGGAGCGAUCCGGAUUAGAUACCCGGAUAGUCCCAGCUGUAAACGAUGCUGGCUAGGUGUUGGGGUGGCCACGAGCCACUUCAGUGCCGCAGGGAAGCCAUUAAGCCAGCCGCCUGGGGAGUACGGCCGCAAGGCUGAAACUUAAAGGAAUUGGCGGGGGAGCACCACAAGGGGUGAAGCUUGCGGUUCAAUUGGAUUCAACGCCGGA
Molecule: ribosomal RNA, 914 nt
Filed under: uncultured archaeon
Lineage: Archaea
Description: bacterial SSU rRNA
Rfam family: Archaeal small subunit ribosomal RNA
Source: RNAcentral